AUGUGCAUAUUGGUCUCUUCAACAUUUUUCUUUUCCUCCUCAAUGACAUUAUUUUCCCUUUUGCAUCUUCAGAACCUCAUGAGUUCAACAGUUCCCGGGAUCCUUCCUCAGUGCCAGCUGUCCAGAGGAAAGUGCAUCCACAGCUUCUUAGAGGAGAUGACCACUGAAAGGAUCAUUCUUAAACUGACGGGCUACAGAGCCAGACCUGACUGUCCAGAAGACAUGAACAUAAGGAAAUGUUCUGAGAGUUCUCAUUCAAGUUGUAUCUUAUUCUAAGUGACCCCAUUUGGCUGUCUUCUUGGGAGACAUACUGGAGUGCUUUGCCAUUUCCUUCUCCGGCUCAUUUUACAGAUGAGGAAACUGAGGUAAAGAAGGUUAAGUGACUUUUCCAGGGGCAAACAGUAAUCAGUGUCUGAGACCAUAUUUGAAUUUAGGAAGAUGAGUCUUCCUGAGUCCAGGCCUUCUUUUUCUAGAAGAAUGGUCAGGUGACAGGAAGGAGAUAGAAUUCAUUAUUUUUUUAAAUUUUAAUUCUUAUACAACUACUUGAUCACAUGGUUCAAUGGGGAUAUGACUGGGGAUGUAGACUCUAAAGGAUCACCCCAGUGCAAAUAUUAAUAAUAUAGAAAUAGAUCUUGAUCAAUGACAUACGUAAAAAAUAGUGGAAUUGCUUGUUGGGUAUGGGAAGGGGGAGAGAGGAGGGGGCGGGGAAAGAAUAUGAAUCAUGUAACCAUGGGAAAAUAUUCUAAAUUAAUUAAUUAAAUAAAUAAACUUGAAAAAAAGAAAUGUAUCGAGGC
Molecule: long non-coding RNA, 794 nt
Filed under: Monodelphis domestica (gray short-tailed opossum)
Lineage: Eukaryota; Metazoa; Chordata; Mammalia; Didelphimorphia; Didelphidae
Description: lncRNA (ENSMODG00000049377.1)
Source: RNAcentral